Molecule: long non-coding RNA, 515 nt
Organism: Mytilus californianus (California mussel)
Lineage: Eukaryota; Metazoa; Mollusca; Bivalvia; Mytilida; Mytilidae
Exons: 7
Source: RefSeq, a predicted model, not a curated record
CUUAAAAAUUGAGGAGGAGUUGAAUGAUCAGAUAAUUAAUCUUUAUUGUAGUGUACUGCAAAAACGGACGGAUCAGUGUGUACAGAAAGUGUCCCGUGCAGAUUGUCUGAUUCUGACCUCAAUUUUUGAAGGGAGGAAAAGCGUAACUUGGUUUAAAAAGGACGAUAUACAACAGUAUGACACUGUCAUUGGGUGCAUUAAUGACGGGAAGUGUCAUUGGGUUGCUGUGGUUAUGGAUGUCCAACACCAUAUUGUGACAAUUAUGGACCCGCUCAAAAUAUCAAAGAAAUUGAGAACAUAUGAAAAGAAUUUCAACUACUUCACUAAAAGCAGAGAUCUUGGUACAUGGACAAUCUGUACAGCAGUUGGGUAUCCUCUGCAAAAUGAUUUUAGCUCAUGUGGUGUUUAUUGUUUGAAGUUCCUCGACCGAUACCUAAGUAAGACAGAUACAUCUUUGGAAUUAAACGUCCAAGCUGAAAGAUUCACAAUUGGCAGUGAAAUUGUUCAAGCUGUGC